RNAcentral lists this ribosomal RNA (787 nucleotides) under uncultured bacterium. RNAcentral describes it as "bacterial SSU rRNA". It matches the Rfam family "Bacterial small subunit ribosomal RNA", at positions 8 to 790 of the family's 1533-position model. The record is from RNAcentral.
AGAGUUUGAUCAUGGCUCAGAUUGAACGCUGGCGGCAGGCCUAACACAUGCAAGUCGAGCGGUAGAGAGAAGCUUGCUUCUCUUGAGAGCGGCGGACGGGUGAGUAAUACCUAGGAAUCUGCCUGAUAGUGGGGGAUAACGUUCGGAAACGGACGCUAAUACCGCAUACGUCCUACGGGAGAAAGCAGGGGACCUUCGGGCCUUGCGCUAUCAGAUGAGCCUAGGUCGGAUUAGCUAGUUGGUGAGGUAAUGGCUCACCAAGGCUACGAUCCGUAACUGGUCUGAGAGGAUGAUCAGUCACACUGGAACUGAGACACGGUCCAGACUCCUACGGGAGGCAGCAGUGGGGAAUAUUGGACAAUGGGCGAAAGCCUGAUCCAGCCAUGCCGCGUGUGUGAAGAAGGUCUUCGGAUUGUAAAGCACUUUAAGUUGGGAGGAAGGGCAGUAAAUUAAUACUUUGCUGCUUUGACGUUACCGACAGAAUAAGCACCGGCUAGCUCUGUGCCAGCAGCCGCGGUAAUACAGAGGGUGCAAGCGUUAAUCGGAAUUACUGGGCGUAAAGCGCGCGUAGGUGGUUUGUUAAGUUGAAUGUGAAAUCCCCGGGCUCAACCUGGGAACUGCAUCCAAAACUGGCAAGCUAGAGUAUGGUAGAGGGUAGUGGAAUUUCCUGUGUAGCGGUGAAAUGCGUAGAUAUAGGAAGGAACACCAGUGGCGAAGGCGACUACCUGGACUGAUACUGACACUGAGGUGCGAAAGCGUGGGGAGCAAACAGGAUUAGAUACCCUGG